UGCCUAGGAAUCUGCCUGGUAGUGGGGGACAACGUUUCGAAAGGAACGCUAAUACCGCAUACGUCCUACGGGAGAAAGUGGGGGAUCUUCGGACCUCACGCUAUCAGAUGAGCCUAGGUCGGAUUAGCUAGUUGGUGAGGUAAAGGCUCACCAAGGCGACGAUCCGUAACUGGUCUGAGAGGAUGAUCAGUCACACUGGAACUGAGACACGGUCCAG
Molecule: ribosomal RNA, 217 nt
Filed under: uncultured bacterium
Lineage: Bacteria
Description: partial 16S ribosomal RNA
Rfam family: Bacterial small subunit ribosomal RNA
Source: RNAcentral